Molecule: unclassified non-coding RNA, 241 nt
Filed under: uncultured fungus
Lineage: Eukaryota; Fungi
Description: sequence contains ITS1, 5.8S rRNA gene
Rfam family: 5.8S ribosomal RNA (bases 193-241)
Source: RNAcentral
UUUCCGUAGGUGAACCUGCGGAAGGAUCAUUAGUGAAUUCGAGUCGCUUCGGCGCUCAACCCCCUCACUUUCUAACUCUGUGCACUUUGUAGCCGGCAAUGGAAACGCAUUAUAACUUAGUGCUACUACUUGCGCCUGGCCUAUUACCUUUUUAAACAUCAGUCAAUGAAUGUCAUAAUACAAAACAAAAAAAACUUUCAACAACGGAUCUCUUGGCUCUCGCAUCGAUGAAGAACGCAGC